This is a small nucleolar RNA of Zingiber officinale, 85 nucleotides long. RefSeq annotates it as small nucleolar RNA SNORD34. Lineage: Eukaryota; Viridiplantae; Streptophyta; Magnoliopsida; Zingiberales; Zingiberaceae. The record is from RefSeq and is a predicted model, not a curated record. The transcript has a single exon.
AAAUGCCCAUGAUGAUCAACGACUUAUAUUUGCCUACAUUGCUUGAUUGCUGUAUGAUAAAAGAAUACGUUGUUCUGAGGCUUUA